AGUGAACGCUGGCGAUAGGCUUAACACAUGCAAGUCGAACGGCAGCACAGUAAGAGCUUGCUCUUACGGGUGGCGAGUGGCGGGCGGGUGAGGAAUACAUCGGAAUCUACUUUUUCGUGGGGGAUAACGUAGGGAAACUUACGCUAAUACCGCAUACGACCUACGGGUGAAAGCAGGGGAUCUUCGGACCUUGCGCGAUUGAAUGAGCCGAUGUCGGAUUAGCUAGUUGGCGGGGUAAAGGCCCACCAAGGCGACGAUCCGUAGCUGGUCUGAGAGGAUGAUCAGCCACACUGGAACUGAGACACGGUCCAGACUCCUACGGGAGGCAGCAGUGGGGAAUAUUGGACAAUGGGCGCAAGCCUGAUCCAGCCAUACCGCGUGGGUGAAGAAGGCCUUCGGGUUGUAAAGCCCUUUUGUUGGGAAAGAAAAGCAGCAGGUUAAUACCCCGCUGUUCUGACGGUACCCAAAGAAUAAGCACCGGCUAACUUCGUG
This 492-nucleotide ribosomal RNA is filed under the name uncultured bacterium. RNAcentral describes it as "partial 16S ribosomal RNA". It matches the Rfam family "Bacterial small subunit ribosomal RNA", at positions 29 to 507 of the family's 1533-position model. The record is from RNAcentral.